UGAACCUACGGGGGGCAGCAGUGAGGAAUAUUGGUCAAUGGUCGGGAGACUGAACCAGCCAAGCCGCGUGAGGGAUGAAGGUACAGAGUAUCGUAAACCUCUUUUGUCAGGGAACAAAGGCGGGGGCGUGUCCCCGGAUGAGUGUACCUGAAGAAAAAGCAUCGGCUAACUCCGUGCCAGCAGCCGCGGUAAUACGGAGGAUGCGAGCGUUAUCCGGAUUUAUUGGGUUUAAAGGGUGCGCAGGCGGAAUGGCAAGUCAGCGGUAAAAUUUCGGGGCUCAACCCCGUCGUGCCGUUGAAACUGGU
RNAcentral lists this ribosomal RNA (305 nucleotides) under uncultured bacterium. Its description in RNAcentral is "bacterial SSU rRNA". It matches the Rfam family "Bacterial small subunit ribosomal RNA", at positions 332 to 637 of the family's 1533-position model. The record is from RNAcentral.